Molecule: long non-coding RNA, 439 nt
Organism: Cyprinus carpio carpio
Lineage: Eukaryota; Metazoa; Chordata; Actinopteri; Cypriniformes; Cyprinidae
Source: Ensembl
CAUGCAAAUGACAAAAAUGAUGCAAAAUUUGCUCAUAAAAUUAAAAAUAACCGACUUCCUGUUGGGUUUCGGAUAUUGCUCCAAGAGUCUUUUUUGUAGGUACUGAUGCUUUACAUAUGUGUGCCAAUUUUCGUGCAUGUACGUGAAACACAGCUCGAGGGCUGUUGAUUUUUUUACGAUAGGUGGCGCUGUCGAGCCAUUUUGCCACACCCUCUUCUGAAACCUAUAUCAGACGUAAAUUUUCACCAGGUCUGACGCGUGUGCAAAGUUUCAGGACUUUUCGAGCAUGUUUAGGCCCUCAAAAAUGCGAUUCAUUUUGGAGAAGAAGAAGAAGAAGAAGAAGAAAAAGAAGAAGAAGAAGAAUAAACAAAGCAGAUACAAUAGGGUCCUCACACCAUCGGUGCUCGGGCCCUAAUAAUAAUAAUAAUAAACAAAGCAG